UACAGAGGUCUCAAGCGUUGUUCGGAUUCAUUGGGCGUAAAGGGUGCGUAGGCGGCGCGGUAAGUCGGGUGUGAAAUCUCGGGGCUUAACUCCGAAACUGCAUUCGAUACUGCCGUGCUUGAGGACUGGAGAGGAGACUGGAAUUUACGGUGUAGCGGUGAAAUGCGUAGAUAUCGUAAGGAAGACCAGUGGCGAAAGCGGCUCUCUGGGACGGUACUGACGCUGAGACGCGAAAGCGUGGGGAGCAAACAGG
RNAcentral lists this ribosomal RNA (253 nucleotides) under uncultured bacterium. RNAcentral's name for it is "partial 16S ribosomal RNA". It matches the Rfam family "Bacterial small subunit ribosomal RNA", at positions 524 to 776 of the family's 1533-position model. The record is from RNAcentral.